Chinchilla lanigera (long-tailed chinchilla) is the source of this 1590-nucleotide long non-coding RNA. The record is from Ensembl. Lineage: Eukaryota; Metazoa; Chordata; Mammalia; Rodentia; Chinchillidae.
UCCAUACCUCAUCAGCUGGCUCCAAGGCAGAAAUAUGGCAGAAGGGCAUUUUGUAGAAAGCUGCUUAUUCAAUAGCAGGCGGGAAGCAGAGAGUGCAAGAACCAGAGAGGAAGGAAGAGGCUGGGAACAGCAUAUAAGGGCACAGCUCCGGUGGCCCACUUCCUACAGCGCGGCCCCACCGCCCCGGAGCCCAUUCGGCUAUGAACUCAUCUGUGGGUCAGUCCAUUGGUGAGGUCAGCAUCCGCAUGAUCUAAUCACUUCUCUGGACCCCACUGCUGAGCUUUGCUAUACUGGAGAUCAAGCCCUCAAUAGGAGUCUUUGGGGAACAUUUCAUAUAUAGAGGUCAGAGAGAUGUGUUAGGGGAACAUGGUGAUUUCCCCUACAAUCCCCCUAUUUGUAGUUUCACUUUCCAUACUUUCAGUGACCCUUGGCCAACCUGGCUCCACAAUCCUCCUUCUGACAUAUGGUCAAAGCCUAUGCCACAUCGUCUGCGUCAUUCAUCUCAUUUUAUCUCAUCAGGCAGGCACUGCAUCAUUUCACAUCCUCACAAGAAGGCUUCCCUGGAUCCAGGUGGAGACUCUUGGAAGACUGGUGGGAUAGAGUAGGGUCAGCUCUAGGAGAUGCCUCUACACCCCUACACACUAAGAGUGGGUUUGGAGUCCUGCUUGCUGCUUUGGACACCUACCUGGGUCCUGAGACCAGGAUCACUUGGGAAGAGGAGGAGCCUCUCCAUAUAUGAUGGCAAGGUGGCUGUUCUCAUCCUCAGUUACACACAGGCAACCAAGGCUCAGAGACUGAGUUCUUCCUGCCACUUGAGUCAGAUUCAAUUCCUGAUGUGUGUUCCUUGUAUGAGAUCGUUCAGUAAAGUAAGUACCUGCCUGUGUUAUUGGCUUCACAAACCUGAAAUUUUCCAUGUUGGAUUUUAUGCCCAAAGUGAAAUGAACUAAGUUGCCAGGACCUAAAAUGAUGUGUAUAUGGCUUUGAGGAAUCUUGCUAAAAGACUGAAUAUUUUUCUACAGCAUAAAAGAGAAUAAAUGACUAGAAAUUUCCUCCUAAGCUGUGUUUUUUCCUUACCUCCAGAUAAAUGCCCUUUCUUUCUUUUUCUUUUUUUUUUUUUUUUGCAGUACCGGGGAUUGAACUCAUGACCUUGCACUUGCCAGGCAGGCACUUAUGCCACUGAGCUAUAUCCCCAGCCCUGUGCCUUUUCUUUUUUAAAUUUAUUUUUAUUACUAAACGUUCCCAGUAUUUAAUGAUUACUGUAUUCAUUGUGGGUAGUUGGUCAUGUACAAAUGCUCUUUCUGGGACAGUGAUUUACACACUUUUUUGAGUUUCAGACUCACCCGGAGGGUGUGUUGAAAAGGACUGCUAGAUCUCACUCCCAGGGGUUCUGAAGCAACAGGCCUGUUGAAGCCAGAGAACUGCAUUUUAAUCAACCCACUGGUGGUGCUGAUGCUGCUGGAUCAGAGUCCUCACUUUGAGAACCACAGUUCUACAGGGUUUUUUCCUAUGUAUGCUCUAAUUGUGUCUAUCUUUGUAUUCCUACAUAUAUGCACAAUAGCUUAAUAAAAAUGGACCCAUGUGUUACUCAUA